RNAcentral lists this microRNA precursor (85 nucleotides) under Loxodonta africana (African savanna elephant). RNAcentral describes it as "miRNA (ENSLAFG00000033110.1)". The record is from RNAcentral. Lineage: Eukaryota; Metazoa; Chordata; Mammalia; Proboscidea; Elephantidae.
UGCUGUGGAUUAGGCUUUGGCUUAAGGGAAUGUUGUGGCCUGUUUGAUCUUCUAUCCAGACCACUAAAAUUUUCUCCAUAUCAGC